RNAcentral lists this ribosomal RNA (254 nucleotides) under uncultured bacterium. RNAcentral's name for it is "partial 16S ribosomal RNA". It matches the Rfam family "Bacterial small subunit ribosomal RNA", at positions 524 to 776 of the family's 1533-position model. The record is from RNAcentral.
UACGGGGGGAGCAAGCGUUGUUCGGAUUUACUGGGCGUAAAGGGCGCGUAGGCGGUCGUGACAAGUCACUUGUGAAAUCUCCGGGCUUAACUCGGAACGGUCAAGUGAUACUGUCGGACUAGAGUACAGAAGGGGCAACUGGAAUUCUCGGUGUAGCGGUGAAAUGCGUAGAUAUCAGGAGGAACACCAAUAGCGAAGGCAGCUCGCUGGGACGUUACUGACACUGAGGCGCGAAAGCGUGGGGAGCGAACAGG